GACGAACGCUGGCGGCGUGCCUAAUACAUGCAAGUAGAACGCUGAAGAGAGGAGCUUGCUCUUCUUGGAUGAGUUGCGAACGGGUGAGUAACGCGUAGGUAACCUGCCUGGUAGCGGGGGAUAACUAUUGGAAACGACAGCUAAUACCGCAUAAAAUUGCUUAUUGCAUGAUAAUUAAUUUAAAGAUGCAACUGCAUCACUACCAGAUGGACCUGCGUUGUAUUAGCUAGGUGGUGAGGUAACGGCUCACCAAGGCGACGAUACAUAGCCGACCUGAGAGGGUGAUCGGCCACACUGGGACUGAGACACAGCGCAGACUCCUACGGGGAGGAGCAGUAGGGGAACUUCGGCAAUGGGGGGAAACCUGGACGAGCAAAGCCGGGUGAGUGGAGAAGGUUUUCGGAUCGUAAAGCUCUGUUGUAAGGGAAGGAAGGGUAGGAGGGUGGAACGCUGACGCUGUGACGGUAUCUUACGAGAAAGGGACGGCUAACUACGUG
Molecule: ribosomal RNA, 497 nt
Filed under: uncultured bacterium
Lineage: Bacteria
Description: partial 16S ribosomal RNA
Rfam family: Bacterial small subunit ribosomal RNA
Source: RNAcentral